RNAcentral lists this unclassified non-coding RNA (233 nucleotides) under Hevea brasiliensis (rubber tree). The record is from RNAcentral. Lineage: Eukaryota; Viridiplantae; Streptophyta; Magnoliopsida; Malpighiales; Euphorbiaceae.
CAAGCCCUCAUGUCAGAGAUCCGGAUGGUGCUAGCCCUCUGCAUUAUGCAGUUCAAGUUGCUGCUAUGCAAACUGUGAAGUUAUUGGUCAAAUACAAGGUUGAUGUAAAUGUUGCAGAUAAUGUAUGUAUAGUUCCAAAGCUGUUUUAAUCUCUAUGUUCUGCUGCUAUGCCAAAGUAGAAACAGAGAUAUAGUUAAAGUUUUGUUAGUGAAUGGUGCAGAUAAGAACAGACG